GGUAAAAUGACUGGGUGAGCAUCAGACUGAAAAUCUAAAUACAGAGGUUUAAGUCCUCUUCCUACCA
Non-coding RNA from Mesocricetus auratus (golden hamster), 67 nucleotides. The record is from Rfam. Lineage: Eukaryota; Metazoa; Chordata; Mammalia; Rodentia; Cricetidae.